CGCCACGCCAGUCGACUUCUUCCUCCUCGUACGGGUCGUCGUAGUAGCCGAGGUUGGUACGUCUCUUGUCCUUGAUUUUCCUCUUCUCUUGUCUUCUUGUCAUUACUCGUCGAUAGAGUGAUACUAGUAUUUAUGUUUAUGAGAGCAACUCCAACCCAAAUCCCUAAAUUAAAUCUCUAAAUUAAGGCUUUUAAAUUUUUAUUUACAUGCUAUGAUAAAAAAGUAGAAGUUCAAAUUAAGACCCAACUCUAACCCACCUCAUAAACAAAUAGAAUAGAGGGUUCUAGAUGUGAUGGGUUGAAAUUAUAAUUUAGAAGGGCAUGGAAAAUGGCCAAUGGGAGCCCAAGAGGUGGGUUGGAGUUGAUUUUUUAAAUUAAGUCUCUAGAUUUAGAAUAGGGACUCGUUUAGAAGGUGGCUUGGAGUGGAGAUCCUAUUGGAGUUGCUAUGAUAGAGUUAACAGGUAGUAGAUUAUAUUUAUGGGAGAAUAUAUAUUUUUAAUAAAUUUAUUUAAAUUUUGAUGUAAUUUUUUAUUAACACAUAGUUAAAUUUUAAAAAAUUUAACAGUAGUUACAGUGUUUAGAACGGAGGAAGUAUCCAAUGAGAGUGUCUAGUUUUUGUGUAAGAUGUGGAAAAUGAAAAAUUCCUUUCGGAAUAAUCCCUUAACCAAACUCAUUGAAAUGGAUGCGUGCAAACCAAACUUUAUCAACCUUAACUAGGUUUAUAGAAAAUAUGUGCAAUAUUUAUAUCUUCAAAUAAUUUUACUAUAAAAAUUUUUAACGAUCUAUCUAUUAAUACUAAUUAUGUAUUGUGAAUUAUGAUGAUAAGUUAUUAUGUAAAAAAUUAUGCAUACAAUUUGUAUGUAUAGCUUUGUAAUUUUCUAAAAAUAAAAAAAUUAUAAAUAUAUUAAGAAAUCACUAUGAAUAAGUUUGUCCGUAAAUAGUUAGGCUAUCCUCAGGGAGAGUUCCAUAAUAUAGUUUCCAGUAUAUCCAUAUUUUCAAAAAAAUGGAUGAAACUCUCUCUUUGCUUUCAUUAAUUUUUUAUAAUCUCUCUCUUCAUUAAUACAGUGUCACAUCAGCAUAUUUAAUGUUCAUAAAACUCUAAUAAAACUGCAUUAAAACUGGCCUUAUGAACAAAAGUUGACCAUUAAAAAUUGCAUACAAAAGUUAUAAUGACAAGUUGUCUAUAUAAUAUUAUUAAAAAUAUGUUAACUAAGUUAUGCCUCAUAAACUAUGCGUAAAAGUUAUGUGUAUAACUUUAUAGUUCUUAAAAAAGGUUGUGGAAAUAAUUUUUCUAGAAAAAAAAGUCACGGAGCGCUAUGGAUUGAGGGUAUGUUUGGUUCCUUUGCUAAAUUUUAGUUAUUUUAGUAAACUUCUAAAUAUAUUGACUAAAAAGAGCUAAAAUAGUUUAGUCCUACUAGCGACCUAAGAGUAGCUAAAAUAAUUUUAGUUGGCUAAAAUUUAGCAAGAGUGAUUGACCUUCCUUGAUUAGUUGAGCCUAUUCUUUUCGAUACAGCGAUGACACCAUUAAAUAUCCAUCAAUAUGCUCACCGAGUUCUUAUAUGUUGAAAGAUAGUAAAAACAAAUUCAAAUACAUUCACUAAGUAUUGUAUCAUUUACAAUAUUGCUUUAGGAUUUGUUCUUUACUUUUUUUAAAAAAAAGUAUGGAAGCCUUUCUCUUCACCGAGUGAUCGGAAAAAUAAAAAGCACCAUAGAGCAUCUCCAAGAGUUUUCAUAAAUAUGAUGUUUGUUAACUCCUAAAUUAGUAUGAAGAGAAAAAAGAAGUCAUCUCCAAGAGUUUUCUAUAUUUCUAUUUUGAAAGUUUUUUUCUUGAUACUUUUUCCUAUGAUCCAGUCUCAUGUUUUGUAUCAAGAACUCUAAACUUAUUUAUGUACGUGUUUAAGUCCUUUCACCAGAUCUUUCUUUCUUAUGUUUUUCUCAUCUAGAAUCAUGUAUUUCUUACUUUUUACUAGAUGGGUCCGGAAACUCCAGAUGAGGGUUCCUAUAUGCGCGCUCGGGAUAAUUUUUGCGGGGUUGGAAAAGAUGGGAGGGAAGGUGCCAAACUAUUGGAGAUGGUUUUUUCUUAUUUUACCAAAAAAAAUGAAGGAUGGGAAAGCCAAAUGGCAAAUUGUUGGAGAUACUCUUAGUGGUUGUUCAUGUGGGAAUUUAACUUCGCCACGGAAAUCAGUCCCAAACUUUGGAGUUGAAAUCUUUGGUUUCUAUAACAAAAUCAACUUGCAAGAAAAAGAAGCAGAGUGAAGAUGACUUCGCAUGAAGGAAUUCGUCUUCACUCAGAAACAAAGAGAAACAAAAACUAGUGAAGGCAAAGAUUUGACUUCGCUUAACAUUCAGAAGUCGAAAUAAAGUGAAAAUCAACCAAGUACAAAGGUGAAGACUCCAAAAAGAUUGAAGAGCAAAAAUAGAGGAAUAAAGGUUUGCAGAGAGAA
Molecule: long non-coding RNA, 2443 nt
Filed under: Sorghum bicolor (sorghum)
Lineage: Eukaryota; Viridiplantae; Streptophyta; Magnoliopsida; Poales; Poaceae
Description: long non-coding RNA (SBIC_LNC009122)
Source: RNAcentral